Molecule: RNA transcript, 888 nt
Organism: Haplochromis burtoni (Burton's mouthbrooder)
Lineage: Eukaryota; Metazoa; Chordata; Actinopteri; Cichliformes; Cichlidae
Gene name: H(+)/Cl(-) exchange transporter 5-like
Exons: 2
Source: RefSeq, a predicted model, not a curated record
AUAAAAACCAUGGGCUUCGACGUCGCGUAAAAAUAAAAGCUUUAAACGCCAUAUAAAAACAAUAAAAAAAUGUAAAAUGUAUGCAUUUAAUAUUCGAGUAUAAUCUUAAAACGUGUCGGACUGUAAAAGCGCCAAUUAGUUUAUACGACUUUUUUUUUAUUAAAAGACUUAAAGGUGGACGUAGCUAAUUUUCGCUUACUUGACGACGGCUUACCGUUUGCGCUUUAAGUGCCAAAACGACAAAUGCAAACAGUUGUUAUCGCUACGUUUCACCAGCGUGAGUGUCCAAGCAGGGGACACUUUGCCGAGACCUUCUUAAAUGUACAUAUUGCGUCACAAAACCUCAGUGUUGGGGUGUCGGUGGAUGACGCAGGGUUUUCUCAGUUAAGUUUACACAGGAUAGUGUUGACAUAAGCAGCUCCCGCAGAAGAAGACGACGGUGGGGCAAAUAAUCCGAGUCACAAGACUUCUUCUCCUUCUUCAGUGAGCCGCACGACUGCUUUCUUCCCUCCCAGGCGCUGAAGGGAUGGAAAACCCCGGGUACUGCUCCGGGAGCUUUGACGGCCUUCAUCAUCCCAGCGAUGACGAUGAUGACGAGAUGGUGGACAUCGCAGGAGCCACGCUGGACUUCUCGACCACGGACGACGUCCCUCCGCUCAGCUCAGGUGGGGCUGCUGCUGCUGGUCUUUCCAACGCCUGGUUUCAGUGCUGAGCUUUUUAAAGUUCAUAAACCAUUUCAACUAAACUCUUAUCAGGGAGUUGUGAGGCAGCUUCAAAGCACAAGUCAUGUAACUUGCUUCAGCUAACUCUGGCAUUAAAAGUCCCCCUCAAAGUAAAUAAAUACAAAAAAAGAGUUUAAAUUCAGGAAUCACUUUCAGCCUGUUUCCU